Molecule: ribosomal RNA, 497 nt
Filed under: uncultured bacterium
Lineage: Bacteria
Description: partial 16S ribosomal RNA
Rfam family: Bacterial small subunit ribosomal RNA
Source: RNAcentral
GAUGAACGCUGGCGGCGUGCCUAAUACAUGCCAGUCGAGCGAACAGACGAGGAGCUUGCUCCUCUGACGUUAGCGGCGGACGGGUGAGUAACACGUGGAUAACCUACCUAUAAGACUGGGAUAACUUCGGGAAACCGGAGCUAAUACCGGAUAAUAUAUUGAACCGCAUGGUUCAAUAGUGAAAGACGGUUUUGCUGUCACUUAUAGAUGGAUCCGCGCCGCAUUAGCUAGUUGGUAAGGUAACGGCUUACCAAGGCAACGAUGCGUAGCCGACCUGAGAGGGUGAUCGGCCACACUGGGACUGAGACACGGUCCAGACUCCUACGGGAGGCAGCGGUAGGGAAUCUUCCGCAAUGGGCGGAAGCCUGACGGAGCAACGCCGCGUGAGUGAUGAAGGUCUUCGGAUCGUAAAACUCUGUUAUUAGGGAAGAACAAAUGUGUAAGUAACCAUGCACGUCUUGACGGUACCUAAUCAGAAAGCCACGGCUAACUACGUG